UUAAGCGACUAAGCGUACACGGUGGAUGCCCUGGCAGUCAGAGGCGAUGAAGGACGUGCUAAUCUGCGAAAAGCGCCGGCGAGGUGAUAUGAACCCUUGACCCGGCGAUGUCCGAAUGGGGAAACCCAGUGCAAUCCGUUGCACUAUCGUUAACUGAAUACAUAGGUUAACGAGGCGAACCGGGGGAACUGAAACAUCUAAGUACCCCGAGGAAAAGAAAUCAACCGAGAUUCCCCCAGUAGCGGCGAGCGAACGGGGAGCAGCCCGGAGUCUGAAUCAGCUUGUGUGUUAGUGGAACGGUCUGGAAAGUCCGACGGUACAGGGUGAUAGUCCCGUACACGAAAAUGCACAUGCUGUGAACUCGAAGAGUAGGGCGGGACACGUGGUAUCCUGUCUGAAUAUGGGGGGACCAUCCUCCAAGGCUAAAUACUCCUGACUGACCGAUAGUGAACCAGUACCGUGAGGGAAAGGCGAAAAGAACCCCGGCGAGGGGAGUGAAAAAGAACCUGAAACCGUGUACGUACAAGCAGUGGGAGCCUCUUUAUGGGGUGACUGCGUACCUUUUGUAUAAUGGGUCAGCGACUUAUAUUCUGUAGCAAGGUUAACCGUAUAGGGGAGCCGAAGGGAAACCGAGUCUUAACUGGGCGUUAAGUUGCAGGGUAUAGACCCGAAACCCGGUGAUCUAGCCAUGGGCAGGUUGAAGGUUGGGUAACACUAACUGGAGGACCGAACCGACUAAUGUUGAAAAAUUAGCGGAUGACCUGUGGCUGGGGGUGAAAGGCCAAUCAAACCGGGAGAUAGCUGGUUCUCCCCGAAAGCUAUUUAGGUAGCGCCUCGUGAACUCAUCUUCGGGGGUAGAGCACUGUUUCGGCUAGGGGGCCAUCCCGGCUUACCAACCCGAUGCAAACUACGAAUACCGAAGAAUGUUAUCACGGGAGACACACGGCGGGUGCUAACGUCCGUCGUGAAGAGGGAAACAACCCAGACCGCCAGCUAAGGUCCCAAAGUCAUGGUUAAGUGGGAAACGAUGUGGGAAGGCACAGACAGCCAGGAUGUUGGCUUAGAAGCAGCCAUCAUUUAAAGAAAGCGUAAUAGCUCACUGGUCGAGUCGGCCUGCGCGGAAGAUGUAACGGGGCUAAACCAUGCACCGAAGCUGCGGCAGCGACACUAUGUGUUGUUGGGUAGGGGAGCGUUCUGUAAGCCGUUGAAGGUGUGCUGUGAGGCAUGCUGGAGGUAUCAGAAGUGCGAAUGCUGACAUAAGUAACGAUAAAGCGGGUGAAAAGCCCGCUCGCCGGAAGACCAAGGGUUCCUGUCCAACGUUAAUCGGGGCAGGGUGAGUCGACCCCUAAGGCGAGGCCGAAAGGCGUAGUCGAUGGGAAACAGGUUAAUAUUCCUGUACUUGGUGUUACUGCGAAGGGGGGACGGAGAAGGCUAUGUCAGCCGGGCGACGGUUGUCCCGGUUUAAGCAUGUAGGCGGAGGUUCCAGGUAAAUCCGGUACCUUGUUAACGCUGAGGUGUGAUGACGAGGCACUACGGUGCUGAAGUGAUAAAUGCCCUGCUUCCAGGAAAAGCCUCUAAGCAUCAGGUAACACGAAAUCGUACCCCAAACCGACACAGGUGGUCAGGUAGAGAAUACCAAGGCGCUUGAGAGAACUCGGGUGAAGGAACUAGGCAAAAUGGUGCCGUAACUUCGGGAGAAGGCACGCUGAUGUGUAGGUGAAGCCCCUGCGGGUGGAGCUGAAAUCAGUCGAAGAUACCAGCUGGCUGCAACUGUUUAUUAAAAACACAGCACUGUGCAAACACGAAAGUGGACGUAUACGGUGUGACGCCUGCCCGGUGCCGGAAGGUUAAUUGAUGGGGUUAGCGGCAACGCGAAGCUCUUGAUCGAAGCCCCGGUAAACGGCGGCCGUAACUAUAACGGUCCUAAGGUAGCGAAAUUCCUUGUCGGGUAAGUUCCGACCUGCACGAAUGGCGUAAUGAUGGCCAGGCUGUCUCCACCCGAGACUCAGUGAAAUUGAACUCGCUGUGAAGAUGCAGUGUACCCGCGGCAAGACGGAAAGACCCCGUGAACCUUUACUAUAGCUUGACACUGAACACUGGUCCUUGAUGUGUAGGAUAGGUGGGAGGCUUUGAAGCGUGGACGCCAGUCUGCGUGGAGCCAACCUUGAAAUACCACCCUUUAAUGGCUGGUGUUCUAACGUAGACCCGUAAUCCGGGUUGCGGACAGUGUCUGGUGGGUAGUUUGACUGGGGCGGUCUCCUCCCAAAGAGUAACGGAGGAGCACGAAGGUUGGCUAAUCCUGGUCGGACAUCAGGAGGUUAGUGCAAUGGCAUAAGCCAGCUUGACUGCGAGCGUGACGGCGCGAGCAGGUGCGAAAGCAGGUCAUAGUGAUCCGGUGGUUCUGAAUGGAAGGGCCAUCGCUCAACGGAUAAAAGGUACUCCGGGGAUAACAGGCUGAUACCGCCCAAGAGUUCAUAUCGACGGCGGUGUUUGGCACCUCGAUGUCGGCUCAUCACAUCCUGGGGCUGAAGUAGGUCCCAAGGGUAUGGCUGUUCGCCAUUUAAAGUGGUACGCGAGCUGGGUUUAGAACGUCGUGAGACAGUUCGGUCCCUAUCUGCCGUGGGCGCUGGAGAAUUGAGGGGGGCUGCUCCUAGUACGAGAGGACCGGAGUGGACGCAUCACUGGUGUUCGGGUUGUCAUGCCAAUGGCACUGCCCGGUAGCUAAAUGCGGAAGAGAUAAGUGCUGAAAGCAUCUAAGCACGAAACUUGCCCCGAGAUGAGUUCUCCCUGAGACUUUAAGUCUCCUGAAGGAACGUUGAAGACGACGACGUUGAUAGGUCGGGUGUGUAAGCGCAGCGAUGCGUUGAGCUAACCGAUACUAAUGAACCGUGAGGCUUAACCUU
This 2903-nucleotide ribosomal RNA is filed under the name Enterobacter cloacae. Its description in RNAcentral is "bacterial LSU rRNA". It matches the Rfam family "Bacterial large subunit ribosomal RNA". The record is from RNAcentral. Lineage: Bacteria; Pseudomonadati; Pseudomonadota; Gammaproteobacteria; Enterobacterales; Enterobacteriaceae.